UAUUCUAAAAACAUUUUCCAAUACUUUUACUUUGUUUCGACUUAUUUCAAAUUUUAUUGAAAUUGACGGGCAAUUUGUACAUUAUAUAAAUAAAAUUCAAAUUAUUAUAUUUAAUAAUUUUACUUUUAAAUCCUAUUUAUUUUAAAUAUUUAAAAUUUAAAAUUUAUUAAAUUAAUAAUUUAAUGUAACUCAUAUUAAUCUAAUAAAUACUUUAUUUUGAUUUGAAUUUUUUUUAAAUUUAUAAAAUUUUAAUUCUAAUAUUUAUAUAAAAUUUUUAAACAACAAUAUAAAAAUAAUUUUAAUUUAAAUUUUAUUAGUAAUUCUUAUUGUGGAAUAACAAAUUAAUAUACAAGUUCCCCUAAAAUUUUAUAUAACCGCCAUAUUUUAUAAUUUUAAUGUUUUAACAUUUAAUAAUUAAAUUUAUUUUUUUAAUUAAUAUAAUAGGGUAUCUAAUCCUAGUUU
RNAcentral lists this ribosomal RNA (462 nucleotides) under Osmia montana. RNAcentral's name for it is "partial 12S ribosomal RNA". Lineage: Eukaryota; Metazoa; Arthropoda; Insecta; Hymenoptera; Megachilidae. The record is from RNAcentral.